This 168-nucleotide microRNA precursor is filed under the name Setaria italica (foxtail millet). Its description in RNAcentral is "MIR2118 microRNA precursor family". It matches the Rfam family "MIR2118 microRNA precursor family". Lineage: Eukaryota; Viridiplantae; Streptophyta; Magnoliopsida; Poales; Poaceae. The record is from Rfam by way of RNAcentral.
GUCAGGAAGAGGAAGAAAGAGACGGUAUAAGAGCAUUGGGAAUGAGAAUAUCGAGGAAAGCCAAGCUUGAAGGUUCCCUCCUAGCAUUGGGGUGGAAAUUUAAUUUGGAAUUUCCCGAUGCCUCUCAUUCCUAUUGUUCUUAAGCCCUACUUUCUCUUCCUUUUGGCU